Armigeres subalbatus is the source of this 1171-nucleotide long non-coding RNA. RefSeq lists it as uncharacterized. The record is from RefSeq and is a predicted model, not a curated record. The transcript is spliced from 3 exons. NCBI's taxonomy places the organism in Eukaryota, Metazoa, Arthropoda, Insecta, Diptera, Culicidae.
GCGAGAUUCUUCAAAUUAGAAUUCAAUUAAGCCAGAAGUAUUUUAUUUUGCUCAUUUUUCCAUCGGAAAUUGGCUAGGAACUUUUGGUUACAAGUAGUCUUAGGUUUCGUCAUCGGUGAACGGGAUGUGAAGUCGAGGAUUCCAUAAAUAUUACACAUGCAGAAAGCAUCAAUGGAGCCUGGGAGGUCAAGAUUGUUCAGAAAUAAUGUUUAGCAGCUGCAAGACGAGCCAACGUGAAUUCAAGUUAAACAAAAUUGUAUUACCAAAACAGUGUGACAAUGGAAUUCACGGAGCAACCGCAGCGCGAGAAAACAGGAUUCCUGGAACCCGAGCUAGCUCGCGAACAACGGUGAAAAUUCCAAAAAUAUUCAGUACUAUCGUUUGGAGCGACCGCCGGCUUUUUAUUGCGAUGCGUCUAGUCCUUGGACCCAAUGGGAAGUGUCGUCAGUGUUGGUUGAUUAUUCUGCACCUAUUUUGUAGAUCCAGUUUUGCUCAAAAGGUCAUCGGAAGACCACAAGUUGCCGGUAGUGAUAGUAUUAUAAUUGGUUUUAAGAGUAAGAAACCCACCGUGGUUUCACCCACAAGAGGAUGUAUGAAGUAACUUUUUUAUAAUAAUUUAUAAUAAUAAUUUUUUAUAAUAAAAUAACAAUUGAACAACGCAGGAUGAUAUCGCACGUAAUCAUUAUCAGAGGAGAUGGUAUUAGUGGCCGAAAUCAUCAAAAACCAUUCAUCACAUUCCAUUUAUAUCUCAACUUAGGUGAACGAGGCCAGGGACGGAACUACGUUUCGCUAGGAAGGGAUCGUGGAGUACUACUAACUAUAAUAGAUACUAGAGUAGAAUGAUUCGACCGAAAUAAAGAUAUUCAAACGCAUUUACUUCUUCUUCUUCUUCUAUGGGUCUACAUUCCUGGCCCGCUUUUCAACUUGGUAUCCUUCACCAUUUUCUCAGUUAUAAUUUGAAAGCUUUUCUAUGCCCGCCAUUGCAUAAGUGUGUCUCCUAUUUGGCAAGUACAAUGGAUACAUUAUGCCCAAGCAAUCGAGAUUGUUUCCCACCCGAAAACAUACUAGACUGAACCGAAAAUCGAACUUGUUAACUCUUGAUUCGCAGUCCUACGCAUUCAGUUAAAGGCAGAUAGCUUAAGAGCUAAAUAUAUUCAAGUUAAUAUGAAUU